Molecule: ribosomal RNA, 253 nt
Filed under: uncultured bacterium
Lineage: Bacteria
Description: partial 16S ribosomal RNA
Rfam family: Bacterial small subunit ribosomal RNA
Source: RNAcentral
UACGUAGGUGGCAAGCGUUGUCCGGAUUUACUGGGCGUAAAGAGCGCGCAGGCGGUCGUUCAAGUCGCGUGUGAAAGCCCCCGGCUCAACUGGGGAGGGUCACGCGAUACUGAUCGACUCGAAGGCAGGAGAGGGUAGUGGAAUUCCCGGUGUAGUGGUGAAAUGCGUAGAUAUCGGGAGGAACACCGGUGGCGAAGGCGGUAUCCUGGACCAACACUGGCGCUGAGGAGCGAAAGUGUGGGGAGCGAACAGG